This 253-nucleotide ribosomal RNA is filed under the name uncultured bacterium. Its description in RNAcentral is "partial 16S ribosomal RNA". It matches the Rfam family "Bacterial small subunit ribosomal RNA", at positions 524 to 776 of the family's 1533-position model. The record is from RNAcentral.
UACGUAGGGGGCAAGCGUUGUCCGGAAUCAUUGGGCGUAAAGCGCGCGUAGGCGGCCCGGUAAGUCCGCUGUAAAAGUCCAGGGCUCAACCCUGGAAAGCCGGUGGAUACUGUCGGGCUAGAGUCCGGAAGAGGCGAGUGGAAUUCCUGAUGUAGCGGUGGAAUGCGCAGAUAUCAGGAGGAACACCGAUGGCGAAGGCAGCUCGCUGGGACGGUACUGACGCUGAGGCGCGAAAGCGUGGGGAGCGAACAGG